CCUACGUGGUGCAGCAGUGGGGAAUAUUGGACAAUGGGCGAAAGCCUGAUCCAGCCAUGCCGCGUGUGUGAAGAAGGCCUUCGGGUUGUAAAGCACUUUCAGUGGGGAAGAAAGCCUUGGGGCUAAUACCCUCGAGGAAGGACAUCACCCACAGAAGAAGCACCGGCUAACUCCGUGCCAGCAGCCGCGGUAAUACGGAGGGUGCGAGCGUUAAUCGGAAUUACUGGGCGUAAAGCGCGCGUAGGCGGUCUGAUAAGCCGGUUGUGAAAGCCCCGGGCUCAACCUGGGAACGGCAUCCGGAACUGUCAGGCUAGAGUGCAGGAGAGGAAGGUAGAAUUCCCGGUGUAGCGGUGAAAUGCGUAGAGAUCGGGAGGAAUACCAGUGGCGAAGGCGGUCUUCUGGACUGACACUGACGCUGAGGUGCGAAAGCGUGGGUAGCAAACAGGAUUAGAUACCCCAGUAGUC
Molecule: ribosomal RNA, 465 nt
Filed under: Vreelandella stevensii
Lineage: Bacteria; Pseudomonadati; Pseudomonadota; Gammaproteobacteria; Oceanospirillales; Halomonadaceae
Description: partial 16S ribosomal RNA
Rfam family: Bacterial small subunit ribosomal RNA
Source: RNAcentral